UACAGAGGUCUCAAGCGUUGUUCGGAUUCAUUGGGCGUAAAGGGUGCGUAGGCGGCGCGGUAAGUCGGGUGUGAAAUCUCGGGGCUUAACUCCGAAACUGCAUUCGAUACUGCCGUGCUUGAGGACUGGAGAGGAGACUGGAAUUUACGGUGUAGCGGUGAAAUGCGUAGAUAUCGUAAGGAAGACCAGUGACGAAGGCGGGUCUCUGGACAGUUCCUGACGCUGAGGCACGAAGGCCAGGGGAGCAAACGGG
This 253-nucleotide ribosomal RNA is filed under the name uncultured bacterium. RNAcentral's name for it is "partial 16S ribosomal RNA". It matches the Rfam family "Bacterial small subunit ribosomal RNA", at positions 524 to 776 of the family's 1533-position model. The record is from RNAcentral.